RNAcentral lists this ribosomal RNA (269 nucleotides) under uncultured bacterium. RNAcentral's name for it is "partial 16S ribosomal RNA". It matches the Rfam family "Bacterial small subunit ribosomal RNA", at positions 337 to 598 of the family's 1533-position model. The record is from RNAcentral.
GCCUACGGGAGGCAGCAGUGGGGAAUUUUGGACAAUGGGCGCAAUCCUUAUCCAUCUAUUCCUCUUUUUUUAUUAAGGCCCUCGGGUUGUAAACCACUUUUGUAGAGAACGAAAAGACACCUUCGAAUAAAGGGUGUUGCUGACGGUACUCUAAGAAUAAGCACCGGCUAACUACGUGCCAGCAGCCGCGGUAAUACGUAGGGUGCGAGCGUUAAUCGGAAUUACUGGGCGUAAAGGGUGCGCAGGCGGUUGAGUAAGACAGAUGUGAA